GCGAAGGCCCGGUUACCCUUAGACCGGAUGGGAAGAGAGGUCCUGCAAUGCCCAUAUGUGCCCCCACAGCCCAAUUAAAAACAGAAGGAGAGCCUUGUCGUAACCUGAGCUGAAAUCGAUUACAUCAAAAAUAGAGGAAGGACCUCGUCCUGACACUAAUUAAGGUCUGGUCAUUCAAGACCGGAUAAGAAAAAGAGAACCUUCUCAGCGGCCC
RNAcentral lists this long non-coding RNA (214 nucleotides) under Elaeis guineensis (African oil palm). RNAcentral's name for it is "long non-coding RNA (EGUI_LNC059648)". The record is from RNAcentral. Lineage: Eukaryota; Viridiplantae; Streptophyta; Magnoliopsida; Arecales; Arecaceae.